This 595-nucleotide ribosomal RNA is filed under the name uncultured fungus. Its description in RNAcentral is "eukaryotic LSU rRNA". It matches the Rfam family "Eukaryotic large subunit ribosomal RNA", at positions 37 to 652 of the family's 3401-position model. Lineage: Eukaryota; Fungi. The record is from RNAcentral.
AGCAUAUCAAUAAGCGGAGGAAAAGAAACCAACAGGGAUUGCCCCAGUAACGGCGAGUGAAGCGGCAACAGCUCAAAUUUGAAAUCUGGCCCCCAGGGUCCGAGUUGUAAUUUGCAGAGGAUGCUUUUGGCAAGGUGCCUUCCGAGUUCCCUGGAACGGGACGCCAUAGAGGGUGAGAGCCCCGUCUGGUUGGAUACCGAGCCUCUGUAAAGCUCCUUCGACGAGUCGAGUAGUUUGGGAAUGCUGCUCUAAAUGGGAGGUAUAUGUCUUCUAAAGCUAAAUAUUGGCCAGAGACCGAUAGCGCACAAGUAGAGUGAUCGAAAGAUGAAAAGCACUUUGAAAAGAGGGUUAAAUAGUACGUGAAAUUGUUGAAAGGGAAGCGCUCAUGACCAGACUUGGGCCCGGUGAAUCAUCCAGCGCUCGUCGCUGGUGCACUUUGCCGGGCUCAGGCCAGCAUCAGUUCGCUCCGGGGGACAAAGGCUCUGGGAAUGUGGCUCCUCCGGGAGUGUUAUAGCCCACUGCGCAAUACCCUGGGGCGGACUGAGGUUCGCGCAUUCGUGCAAGGAUGCUGGCGUAAUGGUCAUCAGUGACCCGU